UACCUGGUAGAUUUCUCUUCUCUCCAAAACUUCUAUUUUUCAUCAUUGUAUGAAUUUUAUCUGUUCGUUCAUCAAUAAAAGACAACUUCUCCUGCACAUUCUCUGUUCGCUGAUCAAUAGAGGACAACUUCUGCUCCAUAUUCUCAUGAAAUACGCUGUUCGCUCGUAACUCAUUCAAAAGACAUUCAUGUAAUUCGUGAACUUUCUCUGUAGGGAAAUCAUCCUCGCUCAUUUGACCAAUAGUAUCAACAAAAGCGAUAUCAACAUUAACUGCUGUUAAAGCGUUGGUUACCAAUUGUACAUAGUUAUCAAAAUCAGUUUUGACUAUUACUGGUUUUGGUGAAUGGCAAAGUGCGUUUCUCAAUAAUCGCAGUUGAUCAACUGCCAAGGCGUAGGUCUCAUCUUGAUUUCUUGUUAAGCUCUGGACUGAUGAAUGAAAAGAACCAGGAGGUGGUUUAACUUUCUUCAAAUAUAAAUCAUUCAAAGUUGAUCCCUUGCUUCCUGGAACACCAAAUGUUUUGGCAUAGAUUGUUGCUUUAAACAAAGCUGUGCAGUCCCACUCUUCAAUUGAUUUCGUAGUUGGUAUAUCUGUUUUACCACCUUCAGAUUUAAGAAGCAUGUUCCGUACUGUGAUACUGUCAUCCCAUGGAAUGAAUCCUGGUCUUACAGCAACCUUGCUGUCCCACAUGGCGAUAAAAAUUUGACGCAACACCUUGGGAAACUCAUCAAGAACAAGUGUAGAAAACUUAAAGAAAUUCAAUUGUUCCUUCGAAAAUGGUUUCACUGCCAUCGUGAAGCAAAAUCUAGGCCAUUUAAUAUCUUUCUGUGCG
Non-coding RNA from Paramuricea clavata, 830 nucleotides. Lineage: Eukaryota; Metazoa; Cnidaria; Anthozoa; Malacalcyonacea; Plexauridae. The record is from the annotation of a GenBank genome assembly.